UCGGUGAUGCACUUAACAGAUUAAGUGAACCGCCUGGGGAGUACGGUCGCAAGAUUAAAACUCAAAGGAAUAGACGGGGACCCGCACAAGUGGUGGAGCAUGUGGUUUAAUUCGAAAAUACGCGAAGAACCUUACCUAGCCUUGACAUUGAUUGAACACUUUAGAGAUAGAGUGGUGCCUUUCGGGGAACAUGAAAACAGGUGCUGCACGGCUGUCGUCAGCUCGUGUCGUGAGAUGUUGGGUUAAGUCCCGCAACGAGCGCAACCCUCGUCCUUAGUUGCCAGCAGGUUAAGCUGGGCACUCUAAGGAGACUGCCUUCGUAAGGAGGAGGAAGGUGAGGACGACGUCAAGUCAUCAUGGCCCUUAUGGCUAGGGCUACACACGUGCUACAAUGGGGCGUACAGAGUGUUGCGAUACCGCGAGGUGGAGCUAAUCACUUAAAGCGUCUCUCAGUUCGGAUUGGAGUCUGCAACUCGACUCCAUGAAGCUGGAAUCACUAGUAAUCGUAGAUCAGCAAUGCUACGGUGAAUACGUUCCCGGGUCUUGUACUCACCGCCCGUCACA
This 564-nucleotide ribosomal RNA is filed under the name uncultured Campylobacterota bacterium. RNAcentral describes it as "bacterial SSU rRNA". It matches the Rfam family "Bacterial small subunit ribosomal RNA", at positions 840 to 1401 of the family's 1533-position model. Lineage: Bacteria; Pseudomonadati; Campylobacterota. The record is from RNAcentral.